Long non-coding RNA from Helianthus annuus (common sunflower), 135 nucleotides. RefSeq lists it as uncharacterized. NCBI's taxonomy places the organism in Eukaryota, Viridiplantae, Streptophyta, Magnoliopsida, Asterales, Asteraceae. The transcript has 3 exons. The record is from RefSeq and is a predicted model, not a curated record.
GUGCCGUAGAUAGUUUUGAGGACCUUGGGACAUAACCCAAUCGUACUAGCGGCAUUUAAGCAAUUGCUAAUCAGGUAAGUCAUGAGGAAAGCUAGUUGUGGAGUUUUAGAAGAUCAAGGAGUUCUUAGUUGCCAA